CGGUUAAGUCCGCUAACGAGCGCAACCCUCGCUGUUGUGUUAUAUGUGUCACACGGGACUGCCGGUCUUAAGCCGGAGGAAGGUGGGGAUGAUGUCAAGUCAGCAUGGCCUUUAUAUCCUGGGCUACACACAUGCUACAAUGGCCAACACAAUAGGUUGCUAAGCCGCGAGGUGGCGCCAAUCCAUAAAGUUGGUCUCAGUUCAGAUUGUAGGCUGCAACCCGCCUGCAUGAAGAUGGAGUUGCUAGUAACCGCAGGUCAGCUAUACUGCGGUGAAUACGUUCCCGGGGCUU
This 292-nucleotide ribosomal RNA is filed under the name uncultured Leptolinea sp. RNAcentral describes it as "partial 16S ribosomal RNA". It matches the Rfam family "Bacterial small subunit ribosomal RNA", at positions 1077 to 1382 of the family's 1533-position model. The record is from RNAcentral. Lineage: Bacteria; Bacillati; Chloroflexota; Anaerolineae; Anaerolineales; Anaerolineaceae.